GGGCGAAUGGUUUAGUGGUAUAAUACUCCCUUAGCAUCUACCCUGUAGAUCCAACGAUUGGGAGUGGUCCGGGGUUCGAUUCCCCGUUUGUCCA
Molecule: transfer RNA, 94 nt
Filed under: Akanthomyces lecanii RCEF 1005
Lineage: Eukaryota; Fungi; Ascomycota; Sordariomycetes; Hypocreales; Cordycipitaceae
Description: Cordyceps confragosa RCEF 1005 tRNA
Rfam family: tRNA
About the family: Transfer RNA (tRNA) molecules are approximately 80 nucleotides in length.
Source: Rfam by way of RNAcentral